This 2712-nucleotide small RNA is filed under the name Pongo abelii (Sumatran orangutan). RNAcentral describes it as "processed transcript". The record is from RNAcentral. Lineage: Eukaryota; Metazoa; Chordata; Mammalia; Primates; Hominidae.
GUGAGCAGGCAACAGGGAGGGCUGAAGGCUGUGCAGCACCCUGGUAUGGGGUGAGUGAGGGUGCCUAGAGGGUGCCCACAGAAGGGGAUCCUAACCCUGACCGAGGAGCCAGAGAAGUCUCCUUGGAUGAAGCGGUGCCUGGGCUAGGGCUGCAGGCUGGCUGGCCCUUGCCAAGACAGGAGAAGAGGGAGGUAUUCCGGGUGGAGGACAUAGUGGCUGCAAAGGCCUCAGGGAGCUGGGGGCAUUUGGCGUGCUCUGGGUAGCACAGUGAUUGAGUGUGCGCCUGGACUGGGCAUCCAGGACAGGGUCACCAAGAGCUUCGUGGACGAUGGAGAAGUUGCAAGGGGAUUUGCUGAUGGACAGCCCUGCCCGGCAGCGACUCUACUGGGCUUGUUCCUUGUCCGUUCCUUGAACAACGUGAAGUCAGAACAGCCAGAGGAAAUUCUGCCACCAUUUUCCUGGAGCUGGUCUGCAGCCCCUCCAGCUGGGAACCUGCUCCUGGAGUCAUCCCUCUGCAAGCAGAGAGCCCAGAGUGCCUCGGGGAAAAUUGGCUGAAUAAAAGGUAUAAAGACUUUCUCUAUUUUUCCUGAAUAGUUUUUGACAGAUAUGAGCAUGUUGAACAUCUCGGGAGCUGCAGAUAAUGAAAGCCAGGAGUUUCUGGGGUUUCCCAGCCACUGGAGGGAGGAAGAGUUUGGGGGCUGUGGAGGGAAGGCUUGGUGCCGUUUAGUACCUCUGUGUCGUCUUCUCUCUUGUCCCCCAUGGACGAGCCCAAAAUGUGCUGGGAAAGGCAGGACUGGGGGCCGGAGGGGCUGAAAGGGAAAUGGAUAAAUGGGGUAAGGAUGGAGGAUGAUUGUUUUUAGGCAAUUCUGGCUGGCCCGAGAAGCAGUGUCACCACCUUCCUGAUCCUUUCCCUCCCCCAACCCCAUGGUCCUCCACCCCAGGUGCUCCGUGCAUGGCCACCCAUCCCUCAGGCAGCCCCAGCUUGCUGGUCCAGGGUGGUCUGACUCAUCUCCAUGGCCUGGUCUCCUCGGGGAAGGGGCUUCAGAUACGGGCUCAGUUCCCAGUGUUGACCCUCGCUGGGGGACUGGCUACUACCGCCUGAGCCCAUUGGUCCAUUGCACCGUACCUCCAACCCCCAUUACCCACCUGUGGCUGACCCCCUCCACAGAUUCACUUGCAGAGUUUACUUUGGGGAGAUUAUUAUACAAGUACGAUGCUUCUGGACUUUCGAUGGGGUUAUGUCCUGAUAAACCCAUCAUAAGGUGAAAAUAUUGUAAGUCAAAAAUGCAUUUAAUGGACCGGGCAUGGUGGCUCAUGCUUGUAAUCCCAACACUUUGGGAGGCCAAGGUGGGCAGAUCACCUGAGGUCAGGAGUUCAAGACCAGCCUGGCCAACAUGGCAAAACCCUAUCUCUACUAAAAAUACAAAAAUUAGCCGGGCAUGGUGGUGGGUGCCUGUAGUCCCAGCUACUGGUAGGCCGAGGCAGGAGAAUCACUUGAACCCGGGAGGCGGAGGUUGCAUGAGCUGAGAUCACACCACUGCACUCCAGCCUGGUCAACAGAGCAAGACUCCAACUCAAAAAAAAAAAAAAAAAAAAGCAUUUAAUGCCCCCAAUAAACCCAACAAACAUAAAGUUGAAAAAUUCAAAAUCAAUCUUAAGUCAAACCUUCGUAAGUUGGAGAUCAUCUGCAAUGUAUAUUUAGUGUGAACAAAAUUAGAAAAUGCAGACUUGCCACGUGUUGGCAGCCAUCGGCCCUCAGGUGGCCUCUCUUCUGCUAGGUCCUGGGUCUUGGGUGGUGUGUGCACAAGGCCAGCGCUGCGUUUUUCAAAAAUCAGGACCGGAAAGUAGAUCCGUCAGAGUAUGAAGUCUUCUUCAGCCAAAACUAGAAAAGUUGGGCACUCUUUUUGUACCGCGUUUGCCCUAAGCCCACCCUUGGCUCAGAAGUGGGCACUGACCAAAUGACCUGGAGCUAGACCUGACAUUAGAGCUAGACCUGAGCUAGACCUGAGCUGGGUUCUUCCGUCCUAGAAGCAGGUCACCUCGUAGCCACUCAGGCUGAGGGCAGAGGCAGCUCGGGCUCUGCUCCCGGUUCUCCGGCUUUCCAGCAGGAAGAGGACAAAGAGACAGAACCCAGGGGGUCCCCUUCACAUGGCCUCAGGCUUCCCACAGUGGGCCGUGUGUAACAGGGUCCCCCCUACCGACUGGCUGCCCGUGUGUGUCAGGGUUAGAUGCAGUUUUCCGUGGGAAAAGACAGGAAGGCCGCCGGGUGUUGGCCUCACAGGCGCCCCCAAGUGUUCACCAUGAGGAGGGCAGCAGCCUUCACACAGCCGCCUCCUGAGAUGCCGCCGCUGUAAACUGAAUCUAUUUUACAGGGAAGCAUCAGAAGGAGACCCCAGGUGAGUCGUUUGUAGAAUAAAGAAUCCAUUUGCCGGGCCGGGCGCGGUGCCUCACGCCUGUAAUCCCAGCACUUUGGGAGGCCAAGGCGGGCGUAUCACCUGAAGUCAGGAGUUCAAGACCAGCCUGGCCAAUGUAGUGAAACCCCGUCUCUACUAAAAAUACAAAAAUUAGCCGGGCAUGGUGACAGGCACCUAUAAUCCCAGCUACGCGGGAGGCUGAGGCACGAGAAUCACUUGAACCCGGGAGGCAGAGGUUGCAGUGAGCCGAGAUUGCACCACUGCACUCCAGCCUGGGCAACAGAGCAAAACUCCGUCU